RNAcentral lists this ribosomal RNA (254 nucleotides) under uncultured bacterium. RNAcentral describes it as "partial 16S ribosomal RNA". It matches the Rfam family "Bacterial small subunit ribosomal RNA", at positions 524 to 776 of the family's 1533-position model. The record is from RNAcentral.
UACGAGAGGCCCAAACGUUUAUUCGGAUUUACUGGGCUUAAAGAGUUCGUAGGCGGUGCAGAAAGUGGGGUGUGAAAGCCCUCGGCUCAACCGAGGAAUUGCGCUCCAAACUACUGUACUAGAGGAAGCUAGAGGUGAGCAGAACAGAUGGUGGAGCGGUGAAAUGCGUUGAUAUCAUCUGGAAUACCGGAGGCGAAGGCGGCUCACUGGGGCUUUUCUGACGCUGAGGAACGAAAGCCAGGGUAGCGAACGGG